UACGUAGGGGGCUAGCGUUGUCCGGAAUCAUUGGGCGUAAAGCGCGCGUAGGCGGCCAGAUAAGUCCGGUGUGAAAGUCACAGGCUCAACCUGUGAAUGCCGCUGGAAACUGUCUGGCUUGAGUCCGGAAGGGGCGAGUGGAAUUCCUGGUGUAGCGGUGAAAUGCGCAGAUAUCAGGAGGAACACCAAUGGCGAAGGCAGCUCGCUGGAACGGUACUGACGCUGAGGCGCGAAAGCUAGGGGAGCGAACGGG
RNAcentral lists this ribosomal RNA (253 nucleotides) under uncultured bacterium. RNAcentral's name for it is "partial 16S ribosomal RNA". It matches the Rfam family "Bacterial small subunit ribosomal RNA", at positions 524 to 776 of the family's 1533-position model. The record is from RNAcentral.